Molecule: signal recognition particle RNA, 117 nt
Filed under: Homo sapiens (human)
Lineage: Eukaryota; Metazoa; Chordata; Mammalia; Primates; Hominidae
Description: Metazoan signal recognition particle RNA
Rfam family: Metazoan signal recognition particle RNA
About the family: The signal recognition particle (SRP) is a universally conserved ribonucleoprotein. It is involved in the co-translational targeting of proteins to membranes.
Source: Rfam by way of RNAcentral
GCUGGGCGUGGUGGCUCAUGCCUGUAAUCCCAGUACUUUGGGAGGCUGAGGCGAGUGGAUCACCUGAGGUCAGGAGUUCCAGACCAGCCUGGCCAACAUGGUGAAAACUUGUCUCUA